RNAcentral lists this ribosomal RNA (468 nucleotides) under uncultured bacterium. RNAcentral's name for it is "partial 16S ribosomal RNA". It matches the Rfam family "Bacterial small subunit ribosomal RNA", at positions 28 to 507 of the family's 1533-position model. The record is from RNAcentral.
GACGAACGCUGGCGGCGUGCUUAACACAUGCAAGUCGAACGGAAAGGCCCUGCUUUUGUGGGGUGCUCGAGUGGCGAACGGGUGAGUAACACGUGAGUAACCUGCCCUUGACUUUGGGAUAGCUUCAGGAAACUGGGGCUAAUACCGGAUAGGAGCUCCUGCUGCAUGGUGGGGGUUGGAAAGUUUCGGCGGUUGGGGAUGGACUCGCGGCUUAUCAGCUUGUUGGUGGGGUAGUGGCUUACCAAGGCUUUGACGGGUAGCCGGCCUGAGAGGGUGACCGGCCACAUUGGGACUGAGAUACGGCCCAGACUCCUACGGGAGGCAGCAGUGGGGAAUAUUGCACAAUGGGCGGAAGCCUGAUGCAGCCACGCCGCGUGCGGGAUGACGGCCUUCGGGUUGUAAACCGCUUUCGCCUGUGACGAAGCGUGAGUGACGGUAAUGGGUAAAGAAGCACCGGCUAACUACGUG